GUUUUUCUAUGUAGGAACCCCAUAUUUUUUUCGGUGCAAAAUUUUAGAGCGAAACCGGAAAGGACGAGACGUCCCAACAAUAAUCGCGUCACUUACAUGCCAAAAUAGGGAAUUCUAUAACGUCUAUGUAGUGGAAUCGAUGAAGUCUAUGUGACAGAAUCUGGUUAAUUGUCUAUGUGGUAAGAUCCAGGUGUUGCUGUACAAAUGAGUUUGGUGGAGGGACCAAGCCAGGAGCGCGCCAUAGUGGCGAUUUUAGUCACAAUAUUAUGCAUAUAGAGGACACCAUGG
Long non-coding RNA from Gossypium raimondii (Peruvian cotton), 288 nucleotides. RefSeq lists it as uncharacterized. NCBI's taxonomy places the organism in Eukaryota, Viridiplantae, Streptophyta, Magnoliopsida, Malvales, Malvaceae. The record is from RefSeq and is a predicted model, not a curated record. The transcript has 3 exons.